Molecule: long non-coding RNA, 1694 nt
Filed under: Calidris pygmaea (Spoon-billed sandpiper)
Lineage: Eukaryota; Metazoa; Chordata; Aves; Charadriiformes; Scolopacidae
Description: lncRNA (ENSCPGG00000007730.1)
Source: RNAcentral
AUUAGUUCCAGACACUUGAUCUUUGAGCAUUAGCCAAUAAACAAUUACACCGUGUUUUAAGUUGUGUUUAUCUUGUUUGCAGAGUCACCAUCUGGCAAAGAAUAUCCAAGGAAAAGAGACCCAGAGAGGGACGAUUACAGAACCAGCAUUGCAAGAAGAUUGUUGCAGACCGUGUAAAUGUUCAGUCUGAAGAUCCUGAUGCGCAUUACAGAAAUAGCAAAGCUGAGAAUGUGUGCUGCGUGAUUGCCUUUUCCUACACCAAAGAGUUUGCCUAAGCAAGUAGCUUCCAUCUCCUGCUCAGCUUGGUUUCUUUUUGUCUAGCAAGAGCGUGAGGGACAGCCGUGAGCAGCAGCUUUCUUACUGCCUGUCAAGGACAGAACGAAGCACUCGCCUUCCUGGCCACUGAGAAACCAGAUAAAAGAGUGACUUGAAACAGAGCCAGUCAAAUGGGGAGCUAAAUAAUCUCCCCGAUGGAAUUUCAGCACAUGAGGCGGCUCGAGUCAGCUCUUUUGGUGAGGUAGGUCUGCAGCACGUGGCUCCAGACUGGGAGAAUCACAGAUGUGGGUUUCCAAAGGAAGGGAGUUCUGUUUGUAUUUCCUCCUCUUUGCUCCUCCACCUGCCUUAUCCCAUUAGACCCCGGUUUCGUGCCACUUCACUGCUACUUCUGUUGGCCUGGUGUACCUGUGGACUGGAGAUGGGACACUACGCCACCUGCUGAGGAGGGCCCAGAGAGGUGGUUAUAUUUUUAACCCAACGAGUUUUUCCAUCCAAUUCAUCAUGUUUCAACAGAGGGACCUGGACUGACAGAAUGCAGAGAGUGUAGGAAAGCAACUUAAACUAACAUUUCUUUUUAAUACUGCUUUUGUUUUCUAGCAACCCCUUGACCGCAUGUUGGGUUAAGAGAGAAAGAAGGUGUCAUGGUCUUCUUGGGAAACACAAGGUCCCAGAACCACAGCAGGGAAUGAGGAAGUUGACAUUUUGCCAUGACUGGCUUCUACCUUGUCCAAUAAUUCUCUUAGAAUCACCAACACAUCACAAAUAAUAUGAUACUAUAUUUGCUUUCUUGAUGAAAGUCUAAGGGUCUAAUGUGUCUCGGGUAAAAUGCUGGUAGAAACAUAUCCGUUGUUCCUUGUUUAUUAAGUUUCUUACUUGUUCAGUUCUAGCUGUUAGUAUGUGGUUUCUUCAAACUGUUUAGCGUCUUAUAAAGUAUCUGGAAGCUUCUUAGGGAUAUCAGUGUAGCAUCAAGAAUUACUCUCUGCCACAAAAAUUUCAUGGAAGGGGAACAAUUACUAUCAAUCCGCUUAAGAUUUCUCUAGAAGAGAACAAAGCUGGGGAAAAGCACUUAUCUUUAUCAAAUCUUAUAACCAAACACAAGAUCUACUUUGACAAUGAAAUUAAGUUUGUUCUAUAAAUAUUGACUGGUAUUACUGAUAGCUUAUUAUUUGCUUCUUUAUUGACUGAGUCCUGGAUUGGGGUUUGCUUGUUUUGGUUAUUGGGGUUUUUUUUGUCCAAGACUGUUGUCAGGCUACAUUUACAGUUUCGUGGAAGAGUGGAGGACUCAGGCUGCUAAAAUUUAUUUCCUUGGCCUGCUUUUCCAUAAGGCUUAAUACAAAUUAUAUGUAGUUUUGAAUUAAAAAAAAAAAAAAAAGAAAACCAAAAAUAAAAAUAAAAAGAAAAAGAAAAAGAAAAAGAAA